UUUAGUUAUAGCGCCAGAGCAUUAAAAUAUUCAUUAAUGUUGACGAGGACUAAAGUUAUCGAAAAUUCGGCGGAUGCUUUAGUGGCCAUUCCUAAGGUCAAAGUAUUAAAAACAAAAAUCAAUAGUAAUAUUGUAACAAAGUUUUA
RNAcentral lists this non-coding RNA (146 nucleotides) under human gut metagenome. RNAcentral's name for it is "glmS glucosamine-6-phosphate activated ribozyme". It matches the Rfam family "glmS glucosamine-6-phosphate activated ribozyme aptamer". Rfam says of the family: This entry contains a glucosamine-6-phosphate activated ribozyme that is found in the mRNA for GlmS. GlmS is an enzyme that uses fructose-6-phosphate and glutamine to generate glucosamine-6-phosphate. The record is from RNAcentral.